CAGCAGCCGCGGUAAUACAGAGGGUGCGAGCGUUAAUCGGAUUUACUGGGCGUAAAGCGUGCGUAGGCGGCUAAUUGAGUCGGAUGUGAAAUCCCCGAGCUUAACUUGGGAAUUGCAUUCGAUACUGGUUAGCUAGAGUGUGGGAGAGGAUGGUAGAAUUCCAGGUGUAGCGGUGAAAUGCGUAGAGAUCUGGAGGAAUACCGAUGGCGAAGGCAGCCAUCUGGCCUAAUACUGACGCUGAGGUACGAAAGCAUGGGGAGCAAACAGGAUUAGAUACCCGUGUAGUCCCUGUCUCUUAUAA
RNAcentral lists this ribosomal RNA (301 nucleotides) under uncultured bacterium. Its description in RNAcentral is "partial 16S ribosomal RNA". It matches the Rfam family "Bacterial small subunit ribosomal RNA", at positions 509 to 809 of the family's 1533-position model. The record is from RNAcentral.